RNAcentral lists this transfer RNA (67 nucleotides) under Propsilocerus akamusi. RNAcentral describes it as "tRNA-Ser". Lineage: Eukaryota; Metazoa; Arthropoda; Insecta; Diptera; Chironomidae. The record is from RNAcentral.
GAUUAAUGAGCUUGUAUAAGCAUUUGUUUUGAAAACAAAAGAAAGAAUUUUAUCAUUCUAUUAAUUU